Non-coding RNA from Podarcis lilfordi (Lilford's wall lizard), 73 nucleotides. NCBI's taxonomy places the organism in Eukaryota, Metazoa, Chordata, Lepidosauria, Squamata, Lacertidae. The record is from the annotation of a GenBank genome assembly.
GCUGAAAUAGUUCAGUUGGUAGAGCAUGAGACACUCAAUCGCAGGGUUGUGGGUUUGAGCCCCAUGUUGGGCA